GGUAGUCCAUUUGAAGCCUUGAUCGGAUCGUCCUUUUCGAAAGUGCUAGCUCACACAGAAGGCAUAGAUGGCUGGAAUAAGCUCCUUCCUUUGGAUCACUCAGACUCUUUCAAAUUAGAGGAUGGAGCUACAUGAGGAGGUGGUGGUGUGGGAGAUUUGGAACAUGACACUCUUGUUUUUCUUCUCACACAAAAAUAUAGCUGAAAUCUUAAAACCCAUCCUGGACCUCACGCCCUAAAAGGAAGGACUCUUCCUCUAUUUCUCAUGCACAGAAGCCCGCCCCCUCUCAGUAUCAUACCCCCUCUCUCUCAGAAGAGAUUUCUCAUGAUAAAAUUCAAACUGUUUUGUCACACAAAAUGAGAAGGAAUUUAAGGUGGCAUGA
Molecule: long non-coding RNA, 382 nt
Filed under: Elaeis guineensis (African oil palm)
Lineage: Eukaryota; Viridiplantae; Streptophyta; Magnoliopsida; Arecales; Arecaceae
Description: long non-coding RNA (EGUI_LNC056834)
Source: RNAcentral